GAUGAACGCUGGCGGCGUGCCUAAUACAUGCAAGUCGAGCGAACAGACGAGGAGCUUGCUCCUCUGACGUUAGCGGCGGACGGGUGAGUAACACGUGGAUAACCUACCUAUAAGACUGGGAUAACUUCGGGAAACCGGAGCUAAUACCGGAUAAUAUAUUGAACCGCAUGGUUCAAUAGUGAAAGACGGUUUUGCUGUCACUUAUAGAUGGAUCCGCGCCGCAUUAGCUAGUUGGUAAGGUAACGGCUUACCAAGGCAACGAUGCGUAGCCGACCUGAGAGGGUGAUCGGCCACACUGGAACUGAGACACGGUCCAGACUCCUACGGGAGGCAGCAGUAGGAAAUCUUCCGCAAUGGGCGAAAGCCUGACGGAGCAACGCCGCGUGAGUGAUGAAGGUCUUCGGAUCGUAAAACUCUGCUAUUAGGGAAGAACAAAUGUGUAAGUAACUAUGCACGUCUUGACGGUACCUAAGCAGAAAGCCACGGCUAACUACGU
RNAcentral lists this ribosomal RNA (496 nucleotides) under uncultured bacterium. RNAcentral's name for it is "partial 16S ribosomal RNA". It matches the Rfam family "Bacterial small subunit ribosomal RNA", at positions 28 to 506 of the family's 1533-position model. The record is from RNAcentral.